Molecule: ribosomal RNA, 440 nt
Filed under: uncultured bacterium
Lineage: Bacteria
Description: partial 16S ribosomal RNA
Rfam family: Bacterial small subunit ribosomal RNA
Source: RNAcentral
CCUACGGGAGGCUGCAGUAGGGAAUAUUGCACAAUGGGGGAAACCCUGAUGCAGCGACGCCGCGUGAGUGAAGAAGUAAUUCGUUAUGUAAAGCUCUAUCAGCAGGGAAGAAAAUGACGGUACCUGAGUAAUAAGCCCCGGCUAACUACGUGCCAGCAGCCGCGGUCAUACGUAGGGGGCAAGCGUUAUCCGGAUUGACUGGGUGUAAAGGGCGCGUAGGCGGCAGUGCAAGUCUGGAGUGAAAGGCGGUGGCUCAACCCCAGGACUGCUCUUGAAACUGUAAGGCUGGAGUGCAGGAGAGGUAAGUGGAAUUCUUGGUGUAGCGGUGAAAUGCGUAGAUAUUAGGAGGAACACUAGUGGCGAAGGCGGCUUACUGGACUGUAACUGACGUUGAGGCUCGAAAGCGUGGGGAGCAAACAGGAUUAGAUACCCGGGUAGUC